RNAcentral lists this ribosomal RNA (368 nucleotides) under uncultured organism. RNAcentral's name for it is "bacterial SSU rRNA". It matches the Rfam family "Bacterial small subunit ribosomal RNA", at positions 526 to 896 of the family's 1533-position model. The record is from RNAcentral.
CGGAGGGUGCAAGCGUUAUCCGGAUUCACUGGGUUUAAAGGGAGCGUAGGUGGUUUUGUAAGUCAGUGGUGAAAUGUUCCGGCUCAACCGGGAAACUGCCAUUGAUACUGCUUAACUUGAAUCAAGUCGAGGUGGAUGGAAUAAUACAUGUAGCGGUGAAAUGCUUAGAUAUGUAUUAGAACACCGAUUGCGAAGGCAGUUCACUAGGCUUGUAUUGACACUGAGGCUCGAAAGCGUGGGGAUCAAACAGGAUUAGAUACCCUGGUAGUCCACGCCCUAAACGAUGUAAACUCGACAUUGGCGAUAUACUGUCAGUGUCCAAGCGAAAGCGUUAAGUUUACCACCUGGGAAGUACGACCGCAAGGUUG